Molecule: ribosomal RNA, 467 nt
Filed under: uncultured bacterium
Lineage: Bacteria
Description: partial 16S ribosomal RNA
Rfam family: Bacterial small subunit ribosomal RNA
Source: RNAcentral
GACGAACGCUGGCGGCGUGCUUAACACAUGCAAGUCGAACGGAAAGGCCCUGCUUUUGUGGGGUGCUCGAGUGGCGAACGGGUGAGUAACACGUGAGUAACCUGCCCUUGACUUUGGGAUAACUUCAGGAAACUGGGGCUAAUACCGGAUAGGAGCUCCUGCAGCAUGGUGGGGGUUGGAAAGUGUCGGCGGUUGGGGAUGGACUCGCGGCUUAUCAGCUUGUUGGUGGGGUAGUGGCUUACCAAGGCUUUGACGGGUAGCCGGCCUGAGAGGGUGACCGGCCACAUUGGGACUGAGAUACGGCCCAGACUCAUACGGGAGGCAGCAGUGGGGAAUAUUGCACAAGGGGCGGAAGCCUGAUGGAGCAACGCCGCGUGCGGGAUGACGGCCUUCGGGUUGUAAAACGCUUUCGCCUGUGACGAAGCGUGAGUGACGGUAAUGGGUAAAGAAGCACCGGCUAACUACGG